Procambarus clarkii (red swamp crayfish) is the source of this 656-nucleotide non-coding RNA. Lineage: Eukaryota; Metazoa; Arthropoda; Malacostraca; Decapoda; Cambaridae. The record is from RefSeq and is a predicted model, not a curated record.
UAUAACGUUGCUCGAGCAUAUUAUGUCCGCUGAGACGCGACGUUGUUAAUUAUCGUCAUGCAUUCUUACUGUGAACGUUGUUACGUGUUCAGGUUCGCCGCAACGUGCUGGACGUGUCCUACCACGUCUCACAGUACCAGACAAUCAUCACUGAGCUUAAGGACGAAAUUGAUCGACUCAAGAGUAAACUGGAUGAGAGUGUCCCUGAGCAGAGCACAGCAGGUAUGAACAGCCAAGAAGUGGAACAGGAGAGGCAGAAGAAUGCUGAGAAAAUGAGGAAACUUAAAAAUGAUCUUCUAGACUAUUUCAGAGAGCAGAUGUCACUCAGAAAUAAGCUGAUGGACAUUGACAGUAACAUACUAGCGUUAUCGAUGGAGUUUGAGCGUCAGAACCUGGUUGUGACGGAGUGGGAGACGGAGAGGGCCCAGCGGUCUAAGGGGCGCUCUGAACCCAUUAAGGGGCCUGACGGUGAGAUAUAAUUGACAUGGACACCGAUAAAGAGAGAGAUGACGAGAGUGACGAGGACGAGCCGGAGGAGGUGACUCAGGCCUGGGAGGACCUGAUGUACCUGCAGAAGGAACAGCAGAGGUACACUGACAUGAGGGAGAAGGUCGAGCAAGAGAUGACAGAGGUCAGGAAACGAGCCAAUGACAUGG